AGUUAACGUAGCAAAGCUCGGAGUUGCUGAAGACCUAAACCCUUUUUACAGAGGUUCAAAUCCUCUCGUUAACU
Molecule: transfer RNA, 74 nt
Filed under: Scinax uruguayus (Schmidt's Uruguay treefrog)
Lineage: Eukaryota; Metazoa; Chordata; Amphibia; Anura; Hylidae
Description: tRNA-Leu
Rfam family: tRNA
About the family: Transfer RNA (tRNA) molecules are approximately 80 nucleotides in length. Their secondary structure includes four short double-helical elements and three loops (D, anti-codon, and T loops).
Source: RNAcentral